UAGAUCCAAUCUUCAGAGUGUGAUGGGCACAUAUCCUCAUGACCUUUUCAAGUCGGCCACAAUUUCAUGCCAUCUCAUCAAAAGGCUCAACAUCUGAUCCGAGAUGUCUAUGCUCACGGGAAAGAUGAGCAACCAUUCACGUGAUUAUUGAUGAUGCUCUUUGCCACAAUCUGCUCUGUGCUUGUACUUUCUUGCCCACCCGACAUAGAUUUGACAUGGGGUGUCUCAUUAUGAACAAUGGUAGCCCCAUCAUCCAGAUGCUUCUUCAGACAUGAUUUUGGCUGGACACUUGGGUGCCACAAUUGAUGCCGAGGCGCAAUAGACCUUGGUUUUGUUGAUUCACCAGUUGUCACUUGCUUCUUCACCCGUGGAGCUUCAUUAGGGACUUUAACAACAAGCUACUUGUCCAGUCAAAGAAGUGCCGAGGAUGAAGCUUCCGGGGCUUGCAAGUAAUAUUCUACUUCCAUAUUGCCAAAUAGGGGUCUGUUUUUAACCGCAUGAGCAAAUGCUGCCUCAGCGUCAGAUUUGCAUUUGAACCGAACCUGGCAGGUUGAGGAUCUCCAGAACACGCAAGGAGGAGAAUGAAGCUGUCCGAAACGUGCACAACUUGCUUUCAGCUAAACAGAGGGCAAAGCUGAUUGACUCGAGAAUUGUAUCACUAUCAUUUUGGGCUCCCUGAACUUUCUUGAAGUAUCACGCUUCUUCUGCGAAUACUUUCUCCGUUUUUCCUGGACUUUCAAGCUCAUCCGCGCACCCCUUCUCAGAGGUUUUUCAAGUUUCCUAUCGCCAGCCUCUGUCUUUUCUUCACUCAACAAUUUCAGCUCAUUCAAUCUUUUUGGUUCUUCCACAGACAUUUGUUCAGGACCUGUAAUGCUGCCGGUUAGUCCCGCAUUUCUAUAAUCGUCAGCUUUGAGCCGUUUUUUUGGGGGCCUUUAAAGCAGAAGGCAGGUCUUGAGCAGUCCUGCUGUUAGGACUCUUAGCAGCCAUACCACAGACCAUUGACUUAGUGGGACAACUUUCAAUUGUUCCAGACUCUGCUGCUGGGAUGACAGCCACUUCACAUAGACGACAGAUCUGUAUUCCAGGAAGAACUGCAGCAUGGUUGCGGGGAUAUUUUGUCGCACACUUUGAAAUGGAUUAUGAGCAAGAGCUGACAGAUAAUCAAGUAACUGAGAAUGUUUGCUAUUAACUUGUAAACCAUCUAUCUUCUCUCUAGCCUUGAAAUUUGAGGAAAAGGUGCCACAGGCUCCUUCGCCUGAUUCUCUUUUUACCUUUUUAUGACCAUUGUCCCAAUAUAUACAAUGAGUGUAACAUAUAGGUUGAAUUAUUUGCAAGCAAAUAGCAGCCCUUGCAAGAGCCAAUGUCAGAUUGAAGCAUUCGUCACAAGGACAAGCUCGAUCUAUUAUUAUUGUAAUUAAAGAGGCAUCGAUGAUACCUAUAUUUCAUUAAUAUAUAUAUAUAUAUAUAUAUAUACAUACAUAAUAUGGAGAAGUUUGCACAGCAGAGUCUGUCCCCCUGUUGAGUGAACCCACUACUCACUCAAAAUCACCUUUUGUUUGCUGCUCUAACAGUCCUUUUCACUUCAAUUAAACAUAUUUAAUAAUUCGCAAAUUGAAUUGCACAGAUUAUUAUUAGAUUAAAGAAGCUAUUUGUAUGUUCAUAAUUUAUUGGUCCAAUAAAGUCAUAAUAAAUACAUUUUCACCAAUCAACCACCAUUUCAGUCGAUAGGCGCUGCUCACGUCUUUCAAGCAACAAUCUUCCGUCAUUGGGUACUCCAUCAUUAUCAUGUAUAUGAGUGAGACUCUUAUUAAUUAUCACUUUCCAUGUAAAAGAAUAAACAAACACUCAUUGAUUUUUUUCUCUUUUCGCAUUUCAAGAGUGAAAAACAUAUGCAAGCAAACAGAAGCACGCAGUGCAAAUUUUGGAAUGCCAGUACCACCCACGCUUGUCAAUGCUGCACGUGAGGAGCAGUUGGGCCUAAAUGCAGUCCAAAUGGGCCCCUAAUGAAUGAAAAAAGUGGGACCACUUGCAUUUUACCAACUCUAAAAGCGACCCGCUUUGUCCAAUCACGAAGGCCCAUAUGAGACAAUAGCUAACCACCACCACCACCUCGCUAGAGCAACCACUGCGUGGAGAGUUUUCGUAAAUGAAAAUUAAAAAAAAAAAAUUUAAAAAAAUUCAGUUGAAUGCUAUCUAGUGUCUAUAUAUAUGUAUAUGCAAUUGAAUCUGGUUAAGUUGAAAAUUAGAUUUUGGUGAAAGCCAAUGAAUGGUCUAUCAAUUAUUAAUAAUGAGAAAGUGAUAAGUAUCCAAUUCUUGUUACACCAAGUAAUGGAAUCUAUUUAAUAAGCAUGGAAGCUAGCGAUCGAUAUUUGAUCAUUUGGGUUUUGGUUUAAAUGAUCAUAAGUAAUGACUCCACCGAACAGGGACCACUAAAUAAUAUGAAAUGUGGUACCAACCCUUAACCUUAAUUGCACAAAUGAACUUAAAUUAUGACGGAUUGAGACCGUUUAACAAAUAUUUUUAUUGUCUUAACCUUGCUACGACCGAUAUAACUAACACGGAAGUGGGGUUCAUGUCUUAACCUUGAAUUGUUUGAAGUGGGGUUCAUGUCUGGGUAUUUAAAAAGUUCAAAAAAUUCUUCACACACAAAUCUAUUUCUUGGUUUGGCUUGUUUGACUGUUUGAGAGAGGGGGGGAAAAAAAUUGACAGCACCGAGUUACAGCUGAAGAGAAUAUUCCAUGUACAUCAUAGGAAAGAUUGAUGGAAUGUUUUACAUGAAGUCUGUCAAAUACUUGGAUAGUGGCUUUUUUAUUAUUAAUUAUAUAUAUUUACAUAUAAGUCAAAUUCGAUUGUACAUGAAUUAACGGAGUGAGUCAUGCGACAGCAAUGUUUACUAUGUGUAAUAAUCUAUUAUAUCAAACAAAUAGGUCGUGUAGUGAAGAAAAAUGGUAAUCAAAUUAGUUACUCAAAAGGUCACGAUUCCACAAAUCAAAUAAUCAACCUCACCUGACAUGGAGUUGAAGUGCGGUUCAUGUUUGGUUCUGUCAAGUGGUAGACAAAAGUUUUUGGUUUAUAUGAAAGGGAUCCUAAAUCAGAAUAUCAAUGAGAAUGAGAUCCAAGUAAAUUUCACGUGUGGCACAUUCACAGAUGUUGGAAGAGUCUGGUUUCACACAAUGUCAGCAAGAAAAUUCAUUUUACAAGAAUCCAUCGGUUGCCGAGGGUCGUCACUUUUGCUGACAUAAUUCUCAACGUUAAAUUUUUGUUUUUUUUCCUGCUACUGUUUAUUGCCUUUUCUGUAUUGGUUUACAAAGAAAGCAUCAUUGUCACUUCGAGGAGGAGUUGACACAAAAAGAAUUCAAACAAAAUAUGGUGGCUGAUGAAACCCCAUGACCCCUUUAGAAUAAUUGCUUUAAACUUGAAGCAACUUUAACAAUUGUCCGCAAUUUAAUUAAGUUAAAAGUGCAAAAGCAAAAUAUUCUUAUCGUUCGACAUUUUAUUCUUUAGAUGCAAACGCAAUUUUUGCAGAAAGUAACAAACUAAGUAAAACUCAAAAUUCUAUUAACGGUGCAUUUGAUAUUGAGGUUGGAUUUUUGUAAUUUAAGUUACAACACUAAAGUGUUUGGUAAAUAUAGUUUGGAAGCUGCGUUGAUAUGAUUUUUUACUGGUAUAAUAGAAAAUCUAUUAUAUCUUUAAUAAUUUUGUCAAAAUCAUUAUUUAAAAUUUAUAUUUACUACUUGUUGUUAAUUUUUGUUUCCUAAUUAUAGUUUUUUUUUCUAUAACAACUGUAAUUUAAAAGUUAUAUCACCUAAAUUCUAAUUAGGACCUAAGAGAACAUAAAAUAUAAAAAGUAAAAAUUCCCAAAAAUCUCCUCCAUCAAAAUUAAGUAGCAGUAGAAAUAAUAUCCUAUCAUAAAACCCAAAACAUUCCUCCAAACAAACCCAACCCCAACCCCCCCCCCCCCCCCCCCCUUUCACAUUCCUCCUUCAUAUUGUAGUCAUUCUCUCAUAUGCAUUCUGUGUCAACAAAUUAAAUCAUUCUAAUUAUAGAUAAAAUUUUACUUUAAACUUCAAGCAACUUUAAAAAUUGUCCGCAAUUUAAUUAAGUUCAAAGUGCAAAAGCACAACAUUCUUAUCGUUCCACAUUUUAUUCAUUAGCUUUUUCAAGAAUUAACAAAGUAAAACAUAAGAUCCUACUAAGAGAAUAUAAGAUAUAAAAAGUGAAAAUCCCCAAAAUCUCCUCCAUUACCAUAAAAAAUGAUAUCUUAAAAACCUCAAACAUUCUUCCGCACAAACCCAGCUCCAAACCCCAUUCCCCACGUUAUUCUUUAAUAUUAUAGUCAUUCUCUCAUAUGCAUUCGUGUCAAAAAAUUAAAACAUUCUAACUAUAGAUAAAAUUUUGCGACUUAGGCUCCCAAACCAAAACCAAACCUUAACUUAUUGACAUCCAACGGAUAAUCUCACUUGAGGUUCAUUCACAUACAAUACUUUUCAAGAGCCUAGUUUGGUUUGCCUCAAUGGUAGCAAGAAAUUUUAGAGACAAGAUUGAACAAGCACCCAUCAUUUAAUCCUAAGUGCUAUAGUUAAGUUCAUAACAUUGCCAUUUUUAUUCAUGUGUGUAGAGAACAAAAAGAAUUCAGAGGCCCAAGCGAAAGCAACAAUAUCACUUCAAGAAGGAUCCCAACAACGGCCAUAACAGCACCCCAUGGCCCCUUCAGAAUAGUGAAGUAAUAAACUUGAAAGCUGCUUUAAAAAUUUCCCAUUUAUGUAGUACAUAGAUCACAAAAUUUGAGUGUACAUAAACAUUAAAUCGCUCAUUUUCAUUGACAACCAUUAAAGUGCAAAGCAAAAUAUUCUAUAUGUACAUUCCACAUUUUAUUCUUAAUGUACGUAAGGAAAAGCUAAUAUAUAUAACAAAGAGAAAAGUAAAAUCCAAAAUAACUAAGUCCAAAUACCAUAUGGUAUUUAAAAAAAAAAGUAGUCAAAAUACCGUAAUAAUAAUAAUAAACUAUUAAACUAUCUAAAAAAUUAGCAGAAAAUAAAAUUCAAAAAUCAAAAUCUCCUCCGAAGUCUCCUCCAAAAUCUCCAUCAUAAUCAGCAGCAUUAGAGACAAUAUCUCCAAUUAAAAGCCCACCAAGCAUUCCGCCAAGCAAUCCAGUUCCAAAUCCCAGUCCCCCAUUACUCUUCUUCUGUGGCUUCACAGGCGGGUACCCGUAUCCCUAUUGUGGCGGUGGAGGCGAGUACCCGUAUCCCUGUUGUGGUGCAGGCGGGUACCCGUAUCCCUGUUGUGGCGGUGGAGGCAGGUACCUGUAUCCCGGUUGUUGUGGUGGGUAUGCACCAUUCGGCGCCGCUCCUUGAGGGGGUUGUGGUGGGUAACCGUUCCUUGCCUGAGGCAGCGAGGGGUAAGCGUGAGCCAUCGGCGCCGGAUAAGCAGUCACGGGCUCGCCGGCCUUGGCGUGCUUUUUCCCAACGGUGGGUUCAUUGAACUUGUACGAGAAGUGUAACUCGCCCUUGGGUUUUUCCAACGACGAGCGGACUUGGUAAGUAACGAACUUCAUCGAUAUAGCGUCUCCCGAGGAGGAGGAGGAGGAGGAAUCCAAGAGCUCCUCGUAUCCCUGUUGUGGCGAUGGAGGCGGGUACCCGUAUCCCUGUUGUGGCGGUGGAGGCGGGUGCCCGUAUCCCGGUUGUUGCGGUGGGUAUGCACCAUUCGGCGCCGCUACUUGAGGGGGUUGCGGUGGGUAAUCGUACCCUGCCUGAGGUUGUGGGGGGUAAGCGUAAGGCACAAAGCUCGAUCCGGCUGCCAUCUGUGCCAGAUAAGCAGUCACGGGCUCGUCGGCCUUGGCGUGCGUUUUCCCGAUGGUGGGUUCACUGAACUUGUACGAGAAGUGUAACUCGCCCUUGGGUUUUUCCGACGACGAGCAGACUUGGUAAGUAACGAACUUCAUCGAUUUGGCGUCUCCCGAAGAGGAGGAGGAGGAAUCCAAGAGCUCUUUGAUCGGGAUGAUUACUUCGCCGACAGUUUUAUCGCCGAGUAAGCCGUCGCUCUUGAUCUUGAAAUCGAGCGUGAGGCGAUUCUGCUGGGCCAAGGACUCGUUGAAGGUGAACUUAAUCGGGAAAUUCCACGUGGGGUUUGAUCCGCCGGAUGGGUCCGCCUGCGUCUUGACUUUCUGUUUCUUGAUGGUGUGGUCGCCCGAGAUCGAAACGACGGCAUACACUUCCAUCUUGGAGAUGAAGUGGACAUCUUUGAGGUGUUUUGCGGAGAUCACGUUGAGAUCUAAAGCUCUGUAAGAGACCAUAAUUGCUAAUAACUUUUGAGAGAACUGAAGAUUUUUCAAAAGAUCACUUUCUGCGAAUUGAGAAAAUUAGCGGAGGCUAUAACACGAUAUGGUGUAUUUAUACCGUCAAUGCGGACUUAUCCUCCGGCCUUUGUAAAAUACCAAGGAAAAGCAACAAAGUCCGCGUCAACGCGUUUGGUUGGGAACUGUAAGGCGGGCGGCUACAUUCUCCUGUAAGGCCAAGGCACCUGCCUUCCCAUUGUAAAUCAUAAGAAUUGGUCAACGUCACACCAAUAGGACGCGGUCGGAGUUUUGAUAUUCUUUUCCUAUCAUAGAAUUUCUAGAUUACAAUCACGAUAACGAUUGCUUUUGCGUACCAAUGAUGGAUUCAUAUUACCAACUUUCUUAGAGCAUCUCCAAAAGCCUCUAUAAAUUUUACUCUUUAAAUACUUAUUUGCUUACCUAUGUGGCAAAUAGAAGGGUGAAAAAAUAUGAUAUUCUCCAAAAGACUCAUCAAAUAAAAAUAAGUUAAUAUUAUUUUAAUCAAAUAAUUAUUUUUUUAAAGGAAAAGUCAAUAGUAAUUAAAGCACUUCUCUCUCUUUCUUCAAUGAAAAGUAAUAAAAUAUAAAUUGAAGAGGGAGAAAUCAACUCUCCAAAUUUGAAGAGAGAGAAUCAUUUCUUAUUUGAAGAAUCUUAAUUGGAAUGUCUUUUGGAGCCUUAAAUAUUGAGGUGGCUCUUCAAAUAAUUAAUAAAAUCUUAUUUGAAGAGUCUUUUGAUGAUGCUCUUAGCUCCCAAGUAAUUCACAUCAGUCUUAAACUUUAAUUUGCUAUGUGUAUAUUAACUUCCUAAUAAAUAUCAUAGGUGCCUAGAUCCAAUCUUCGGAGUGUGAUGGGCACAUAUCCUAAUGACUUUUUCAAGUCGACCACAGUUUCAUGCCAUCUCAUCAAAAGGCUCAACAUCUGAUCCGAGAUGUCUAUGCUCUGGCUGCUGCUGCAGCUGGCAUCAGGACAGUUGUUCGUUGCCUCAGGUUGAACCUUUUUUUAGAUCUUUGCAUUGGUGUUGAUAGUUUCACGGGAAAGAUGAGCAACCAUUCACGUGAUUAUUGAUGAUGCUCUUUGCCACAAUCUGCUCUGUGCUUGUACUUUCCUGCCCACCCGACAUAGAUUUGACAUGGGGUGUCUCAUUAUGAACAAUGGUAGCCCCAUCAUCCAGAUGCUUCUUCAGACAUGAUUUUGGCUGGCUACUUGGGUGCGACAAUUGAUGCUGAGGUGCAAUAGACCUUGGUUUUGUUGAUUCACCAGUUGUCACAUGCUUCUUCACCCGUGGAGCUUCAUUAGGGACGUUAACGACAAGCUACUUGUCCAGUCAAAGAAGUGCCGAGGAUGAAGCUUCCGGGGCUUGCAAGUAAUAUUCUACUUCCAUAUUGCCAAAUAAUAGGGGUCUGUUUUUAACCGCAUGAGCAAAUGCUGCCUCAGCGUCAGAUUUGCAUUUGAACCGAACCUGGCAGGUUGAGGAUCUCCAGAACACGCAAGGAGGAGAAUGAAGCUGUCCGAAACGUGCACAACUUGCUUUCAGCUCCGAAACAGAGGGCAAAGCUGAUUGACUCGAGAAUUGUAUCACCAUCAUUUUGGGCUCCCUGAACUUUCUUGAAGUAUCGCGCUUCUUCUGUGAAUACUUUCUCCGUUUUUCCUGGACUUUCAAGCUCAUCCGCGCACCUCUUCUCAGAGGUUUUUCAAGUUUCCUAUCGCCAGCCUCUGUCUUUUCUUCACUCAACAAUUUCAGCUCAUUCAAUCUUUUUGGUUCUUCCACAGACAUUUGUUCAGGACCUGUAAUCCUCCCACAUUUCUAUAAUCGUCAGCUUUGAGCGGUUUUUUUGGGGGGCUUUAAAGCAGAAGUCAGGUCUUGAGCAGUCCUGCUGUUAGGACUCUUAGCAGCCAUACCACAGACCAUAGACUUAGUGGGACAACUUUCAAUUGUUCCAGACUCUGCUGCUGGGAUGACAGCCACUUCACAUAGACGGCAGAUGUGUAUUCCAGGAAGAACUGCAACAUAGUUGCAGGGAUAUUUUGUCGCACACUUUUAAAUGGAUUAAGAGCAAGAGCUGACAGAUAAUCGAGUAACUGAGAAUGUUUGCUAUUAACAUGU
RNAcentral lists this long non-coding RNA (8416 nucleotides) under Citrus x clementina. RNAcentral describes it as "Citrus clementina (C. clementina) long non-coding RNA (CCLE_LNC000083)". Lineage: Eukaryota; Viridiplantae; Streptophyta; Magnoliopsida; Sapindales; Rutaceae. The record is from RNAcentral.